Molecule: unclassified non-coding RNA, 4062 nt
Filed under: Neodiprion pinetum (white pine sawfly)
Lineage: Eukaryota; Metazoa; Arthropoda; Insecta; Hymenoptera; Diprionidae
Description: dNA replication licensing factor Mcm5, transcript variant X2
Source: RNAcentral
AAAAAAGCCAACAUGGCCGACGACUCGCGAUUGGUUUUUGUUUUCCCGCGAAAAAACGGGGCCUCGUCAAAGUUAACCUAACCUGACCUGUUGUUUGUGCAUGUUUCGCGUUACAAUAAAAAUAGGCGUCUGUAUAAAAGACUUGUAGUUAGCGAGCAAUAAUAACGAUGGAGGGGUUUGAUCGGCCAGAUACAUUCUUUGUGGAACAUUUUUCGACCGAAGAACCGGACGAUGGAAAGCAGCUAAAAUUAAAACAGUGCAAACAGAAGUUCAAGGAGUUUAUCCGGCAAUUUCACGAGGGCAAUUUUAACUACAAAUAUCGGGACGCCUUGAAACGGAACUAUAAUUUGGGUCGGUAUUGGGUCGAAGUGAAUCUCGAGGACUUGGCUGCAUUCGAUGAAUCCCUCGCAGAGAAAAUAUAUAAACAGCCCCUUGAUUAUUUACCAGUUUUCGAGGAGGCUGCCACUGAUGUUGCUGACGAACUCACCGCACCUAGACCUCAGGAUGAAGAAAAGGUCGAGGACAUUCAGGUUCUCCUUUCAUCCGAUGCAAACGCUACUCCUUUCAGGGGGAUGAAGCACGAUGUUGUCUCCAAGCUCGUUAAAGUACCUGGAAUCGUAAUAUCUGCGUCAGGAAUCAGGGCAAAGGCGACAAGAAUCGCGAUACAAUGUCGAACCUGCAGAAACGUCGUGCCUGACAUAGCCAUUCAACCAGGCUUUGAGGGUUACCAAAUGCCACGGAAAUGCAACACUCAGCAGACAGGAACAGCCUUAAAGUGCCCGUUGGAUCCGUACUUCAUAAUACCAGACAAGUGCCGAUGCGUCGACUUCCAGGUGCUAAAGCUGCAAGAAUUACCGGACAAUAUUCCCCAGGGUGAAGUGCCCAGGCACUUGCAGCUCUAUUGCGACCGCUAUUUGUGCGAAAGAGUUGUGCCAGGAAACAGAGUCCUCAUACUCGGCAUUUAUUCGAUAAAGAAAAUCGAUAAGACUGGAGGACGACGCGAAACAAGGAACAAGGCAGCAGUAGGCGUUCGAGCGCCGUAUAUCAGAGUCGUGGGGAUUUCCGUGGACGGUGACAACACUGGAAGUGGUACGCAAGCGCCGUUUACCGCGGCCGAGGAGGACGUGUUUCGCCGUCUGGCUGCCGAUCCUGAAAUCUAUGAUAGGAUAUCGAGAAGCAUUGCGCCGAGCAUUUUCGGCGCUGAGGACAUGAAGAAGGCCAUCGGCUGUCUGCUCUUCGGCGGCUCGAGAAAGAAAAUGCCCGACGGCUUGUGCCGCAGGGGCGACAUCAACAUUCUCAUGCUCGGCGAUCCUGGAACGGCCAAAUCCCAGCUCCUAAAAUUCGUUGAACGCGUUGCUCCCGUCGCCGUUUACACUUCAGGAAAGGGUAGUUCGGCCGCAGGUCUCACCGCGUCCGUUACGCGCGAUCCAUCGACGAGAAAUUUCGUCAUGGAAGGUGGAGCGAUGGUGUUGGCCGAUGGUGGAGUCGUCUGUAUAGACGAGUUCGAUAAGAUGAAGGAGGAUGACAGAGUCGCGAUUCACGAGGCGAUGGAACAGCAAACAAUAUCGAUAGCGAAAGCUGGGAUAACGACGACCCUGAAUUCGCGAUGCUCGGUUCUUGCCGCAGCCAAUUCGAUAUUUGGCAGAUGGGACGACACCAAGGGCGAGGAGAACAUCGACUUCAUGCCUACCAUAUUGUCCAGAUUCGACAUGAUCUUUAUUGUCAAAGAUGAACACGAUCAGGCCAAGGAUAUCACACUGGCUAAGCACGUGAUGAAAAUACACACCAACGCCGGUCAGAUCACCGAGCAACAAGCUGACGGCGAAUUAUCAUUGAACCUAAUCAAGAAAUACAUUCAUUACUGCCGAACGAAAUGCGGCCCAAGAAUAAGCAAGGAAGCUGGCGAGAAGUUGAAGAAUCGUUAUGUUAUGAUGCGCAGCGGUACUAGGGAGCACGAAAAAGACACCGAAAAGCGACCGUCCAUACCAAUAACCGUUCGUCAGCUCGAAGCCAUCAUCAGAAUAACGGAAUCUCUUGCUAAAAUGAGGCUACAGUCGUUUGCCACCGAAAAUCACGUCAACGAGGCCCUCAGGCUCUUUCAAGUGUCGACGCUGGAUGCUGCCAUGAGCGGAUCUUUGGAUGGAGCGGAAGGCUUUACAACGGACGAGGAGCACGAGAUGUUGACGCAGAUUGAGAAACAACUGAAACGGCGUUUCGCUAUCGGAUCUCAAGUGUCUGAGCAGAAUAUCGUUGCUGAUUUCACCAAACAAAAAUAUCCCGAACGCGCAAUCUACAAAGUUAUUCACACGAUGAUAAGACGCGGCGAACUACAGCAUCGCAUGCAGCGAAAAAUGCUCUACAGGCUUUCUUAAACUACACGCCAUUAGAGAGAUGCACACAGAGACGGGGUCCGUGUUUAGAUCCAGCUUGUAAAAACCGUCUGGAUCAAUCGUCGGAGCGUAUCCAUUGGGGUCCUUAACAAAUGCAAAUGGCAUGUGGAUCAAGUACAUGUCUAAGUAAUCAAGUUGUAGCUUUUCCAAUGACAAUUUGAUGAACUUCUCAACGUCGCCUGGUCUGUUUCCGUAAUGGGGGAGCUGCAAAAUAAUUUCAAACUAUGGAAAUAUCGAAGUGGCGUAGCCGCAGACGUCCAUGAAUGUCCCGUACUCCACCACGUGUCGCAAAAUUUUUUGUGUUACAAUUUACCGAGAAGACGUAACACAAUCACCUGCCAUGUCCCAAGUCCGACUGUCGGAAUCUCGAAGUUCGAUGACAACCGUAUAUUUUGCAUCGCUGUUGCAGCCGCCGGUAUUCCCUUCGAAUAAUGCAGUGAUAGGACAGCGGAUAACCCGAUUCCAAGUCCGGAAGUAUUCCUCCUGAAAAACGUGUUGCAUAACUCGAUUAUUUUUAGCCACGCUGGGCUUGUGCAAAAAAUUAUAUGUAUGUCUGUUCAACAUAGGAGGGUAUGCAAUUUAAUUUGUACCUAAAUCAAUAAGCGUUUCAGCUUCGAUUUAAAUGACGAUGGACAGUAGGAUCGGUUAAUCACCGUUUUGUUGCCUACGCGAUUUACCAGGCAACGAUUGCGAUUUAUACCGGUUACUAAGUAUUGUUUAAAUAACAUUCAAACUACGUUGAUCAAUCUGCUUGUUCUAUUGCGGAUUCUGCGUUCCGUUAAGCGCUAUUUUUAACCAUCGUAAAAGUUUGAUGUUUGCGUUUGACUAAGUUUUGAAAUACUGGCGCCGCGCCAGUCCCUGACGUUUAACGGUUCGUCACGUCGACGACAGAUGGCGGGUGAAACAAAUUGCACUGCCAGUCUUGCUCUGCGCCGUGACUGGUUCAGGAAACACGCUUAGCCAAUCAUAGUACAGAGCAUUAGGUGCUACUUCCAUGGGUAGUGUUAAAAAAGCUCAAUGAUAUAUCAGCGAGAGGGAAAAACUGCGAAUUACGUAAAGUUUUCUUCAACGCGUGAAUUUGAUUUUUCUUUUUAACGGAUUCGACAAUAGCAAUUUCAAUUGGAAAACAAAGCGAGACGCUUGAAAAGAAGUAACCAAAUUCGGAUCGUACACACCACAUUCUGUUCGAGAUGCGGUAAAUCAUCGUCAGCUAUUCGAAAGAACCUUCGCCAAGACCCAACUCCCGAGGUUAUGUUUCACGUCAUUCCGGUUUGACUGGAUAUCCUCUUUGAAAUCAACCAUGUCGAACUUCAGCCACUUCCUAAGGGCACAUCGGUUCGAAAUCAUCGCUUGCCCGGUUUUGGCUAUUGAAUUUUACAUAUGGUGGCGAAUGCAGCAGAGCGAACAUUGGGGCAGUAAACGGGAGCCAAGUGCAGGUGUAACUUCCUUGCAAUUUGCUAAAAAUAUGUCAAACGAAUCGCCGACCAAGGAAAGUGACUUGAAAAAAGCGCUUGAUUCGCCAAAGAGUUGAUCGAAAUACGUAUCCGCGUAUCGAGGCUUCUUGUAAAUGAUCCAUGUAGUUUGAUUCGUCGAUUCUAAUCUUCUCUCACCUCUCCAUGUAAGCAGGUUUAAUACAUCAUUUUAAUAAACAGUUGACCCAAUGUCAUAAGAA